RNAcentral lists this ribosomal RNA (329 nucleotides) under Porcellio dilatatus dilatatus. Its description in RNAcentral is "12S ribosomal RNA". Lineage: Eukaryota; Metazoa; Arthropoda; Malacostraca; Isopoda; Porcellionidae. The record is from RNAcentral.
UAAACGAGGAUUAGAUACCCUCUUAUACUUAGAAGUAACUUUUUAAGGUAGUAGUUGAUAUAGUCUUGAAACCUAAAGGGUAUGGCGGUUUCUAAUUUAAUCAGAGGAACCUGCCCAGUAAGCGAUAACCCACGUUUUAUCUUACCCUUCUUAGGUUUGUAUACCGUCGUCUAGGUCUUAUUAAAAGAUAGGGCUUUAAGCAGCGAUAAGUAAGUCAGACCCAGGCGCAGCUUAAAAGGGUUGAGGUGGGUUACAAUUAAGCUCUUAGUGGAAAAAAGGCUAAGCCUUUUUGGAAAUUGGAUUUGAAAGUAACUUAAGUUUAACAAACU